RNAcentral lists this ribosomal RNA (468 nucleotides) under uncultured bacterium. Its description in RNAcentral is "partial 16S ribosomal RNA". It matches the Rfam family "Bacterial small subunit ribosomal RNA", at positions 28 to 507 of the family's 1533-position model. The record is from RNAcentral.
GGCGAACGCUGGCGGCGUGCUUAACACAUGCAAGUCGAACGGAAAGGCCCUGCUUUUGUGGGGUGCUCGAGUGGCGAACGGGUGAGUAACACGUGAGUAACCUGCCCUUGACUUUGGGAUAACUUCAGGAAACUGGGGCUAAUACCGGAUAGGAGCUCCUGCUGCAUGGUGGGGGUUGGAAAGUUUCGGCGGUUGGGGAUGGACUCGCGGCUUAUCAGCUUGUUGGUGGGGUAGUGGCUUACCAAGGCUUUGACGGGUAGCCGGCCUGAGAGGGUGACCGGCCAAAUUGGGACUGAGAUACGGCCCAGACUCCUACGGGAGGCAGCAGUGGGGAAUAUUGCACAAGGGGCGGAAGGAUGAUGCAGCAACGCCGCGUGGGGGAUGACGGCAUUCGGGUUGUAUACCGCUUUCGCCUGUGACGAAGCGUGAGUGACGGUAAUGGGUAAAGAAGCACCGGCUAACUACGUG